This 1000-nucleotide ribosomal RNA is filed under the name uncultured bacterium. RNAcentral describes it as "bacterial SSU rRNA". It matches the Rfam family "Bacterial small subunit ribosomal RNA", at positions 356 to 1376 of the family's 1533-position model. RNAcentral also lists the same sequence under 1 other name. The record is from RNAcentral.
GGGGGAUAUUGCGCAAUGGGGGCAACCCUGACGCAGCAACGCCGCGUGAAGGAUGAAGGUUUUCGGAUUGUAAACUUCUUUUAUUAAGGACGAAACUUGACGGUACUUAAUGAAUAAGCUCCGGCUAACUACGUGCCAGCAGCCGCGGUAAUACGUAGGGAGCAAGCGUUGUCCGGAUUUACUGGGUGUAAAGGGUGCGUAGGCGGCUUUGCAAGUCAGAUGUGAAAUCUAUGGGCUCAACCCAUAAACUGCAUUUGAAACUGUAGAGCUUGAGUGAAGUAGAGGCAGGCGGAAUUCCCCGUGUAGCGGUGAAAUGCGUAGAGAUGGGGAGGAACACCAGUGGCGAAGGCGGCCUGCUGGGCUUUAACUGACGCUGAGGCACGAAAGCGUGGGUAGCAAACAGGAUUAGAUACCCUGGUAGUCCACGCUGUAAACGAUGAUUACUAGGUGUGGGGGGUCUGACCCCUUCCGUGCCGGAGUUAACACAAUAAGUAAUCCACCUGGGGAGUACGGCCGCAAGGUUGAAACUCAAAGGAAUUGACGGGGGCCCGCACAAGCAGUGGAGUAUGUGGUUUAAUUCGAAGCAAUGCGAAGAACCUUACCAGGUCUUGACAUCCAACUAACGAAGUAGAGAUACAUUAGGUGCCCUUCGGGGAAAGUUGAGACAGGUGGUGCAUGGUUGUCGUCAGCUCGUGUCGUGAGAUGUUGGGUUAAGUCCCGCAACGAGCGCAACCCUUGCUAUUAGUUGCUACGCAAGAGCACUCUAAUAGGACUGCCGUUGACAAAACGGAGGAAGGUGGGGACGACGUCAAAUCAUCAUGCCCCUUAUGACCUGGGCUACACACGUACUACAAUGGAUGUUAACAGAGGGAAGCAAGACAGCGAUGUGGAGCAAACCCCUAAAAACAUUCUCAGUUCAGAUUGCAGGCUGCAACCCGCCUGCAUGAAGAUGGAAUUGCUAGUAAUCGCGGAUCAGCAUGCCGCGGUGAAUACGUUCCCG